This 494-nucleotide ribosomal RNA is filed under the name uncultured bacterium. Its description in RNAcentral is "partial 16S ribosomal RNA". It matches the Rfam family "Bacterial small subunit ribosomal RNA", at positions 28 to 507 of the family's 1533-position model. The record is from RNAcentral.
GACGAACGCUGGCGGCGCGCUUAACACAUGCAAGUCGAACGGAAAGGCCUGCUUUCCCUUGUGGAUUGCGGGUACUCGAGUGGCGAACGGGUGAGUAACACGUGAGUGAUCUGCCCCCAACUUGGGUAUAAGCCUGGGAAACUGGGUCUAAUUCCCGAUAGGACUGCAGGGUGGUGCCUGUGGUGGAAAACGAUUUUCUAGUGGUUGGGGAUGAGCUCGCGGCCUAUCAGCUUGUUGGUGGGGUAAUGGCCUACCAAGGCGGCGACGGGUAGCCGGCGUGGGAGGGUGGACGGCAGCAGUGGGACUGAGAUACGGCGCAGACGCCUACGGGAGGCAGCAGUGGGGAGUAAGGAGCAAUGGGCGGAAGCCUGAGGCAGCGACGCCGCGGGGGGGAUGACGGCCUUCGGGUUGUGAACUCCUUGCGACCGCGAGGAAGCCACCUGGUUGGAAGGGUGGUGACGGUAGUGGGAGAAGAAGCACCGGCUAACUACGUG